Molecule: transfer RNA, 81 nt
Filed under: Sphingobacteriales bacterium
Lineage: Bacteria; Pseudomonadati; Bacteroidota; Sphingobacteriia; Sphingobacteriales
Description: tRNA-Leu
Rfam family: tRNA
About the family: Transfer RNA (tRNA) molecules are approximately 80 nucleotides in length. Their secondary structure includes four short double-helical elements and three loops (D, anti-codon, and T loops).
Source: RNAcentral
GGCAACUUGGCCGAGUGGUCUAAGGCGACAGAUUUAGGCUCUGUUCUUCGGGCGUGGGUUCGAACCCCACAGUUGUCAUCA